RNAcentral lists this long non-coding RNA (539 nucleotides) under Homo sapiens (human). RNAcentral's name for it is "long independently transcribed non-coding RNA 1794, transcript variant 2 (LINC01794)". The record is from RNAcentral. Lineage: Eukaryota; Metazoa; Chordata; Mammalia; Primates; Hominidae.
AGGGUCGUUGAACAGCUGCUCUGCAAGCUCCCACCCUGUGGAGUGUACUUUGAUCUUCAAUAAAUCUUUGCUUUCAUUGCUUCAUUCUUUCAUUGCUUUGCUGUGCAUUCUGUCCAAUUCUUUGUUCAAAAUGCCAAGAACCUGGACAAUUUGCAGUCAAGACCCUCCACCGGGAUAUGAACUUCCAAUUAUAUCAUUGGACUUGACUACUCCAUUUCUUUCCACAUUUAAAAAUCAAUCAGGGAGAAGCUAUUUUGAGAACUUAACACAGUAUUUAACAUGGGAUUUCUGAAUGAAGACAGUUUAUGGAUGAAUAAGGCAAAGGAGUUACUGAAUGUCUGGACUUCAGCGAAUUAAGACACUGAGACUUUCUCGCUAUUGAAGCUACCUUGAAACAAUAAACACUAAAUACCUAGUUGGUUUGCCAAAAGCAUAAAAUGUUACUUUUCGUAUUUGAUUUUCUUUCCCAAAUCUAUAAUAUAAUCCAGAAUUUGUACACAUAUUUUUUUCCUGAUAAUUAAACGUGUAGACAAUGGGAA